GAUGAACGCUGGCGGCGUGCCUAAUACAUGCAAGUCGAGCGAACGGACGAGAAGCUUGCUUCUCUGAUGUUAGCGGCGGACGGGUGAGUAACACGUGGAUAACCUACCUAUAAGACUGGGAUAACUUCGGGAAACCGGAGCUAAUACCGGAUAAUAUUUUGAACCGCAUGGUUCAAAAGUAAAAGACGGUCUUGCUGUCACUUAUAGAUGGAUCCGCGCUGCAUUAGCUAGUUGGUAAGGUAACGGCUUACCAAGGCAACGAUGCAUAGCCGACCUGAGAGGGUGAUCGGCCACACUGGAACUGAGACACGGUCCAGACUCCUACGGGAGGCAGCAGUAGGGAAUCUUCCGCAAUGGGCGAAAGCCUGACGGAGCAACGCCGCGUGAGUGAUGAAGGUCUUCGGAUCGUAAAACUCUGUUAUUAGGGAAGAACAUAUGUGUAAGUAACUGUGCACAUCUUGACGGUACCUAAUCAGAAAGCCACGGCUAACUACGUGCCAGCAGCCGCGGUAAUACGUAGGUGGCAAGCGUUAUCCGGAAUUAUUGGGCGUAAAGCGCGCGUAGGCGGUUUUUUAAGUCUGAUGUGAAAGCCCACGGCUCCACCGUGGAGGGUCAUUGGAAACUGGAAAACUUGAGUGCAGAAGAAGAAAGUGGAAUUCCAUGUGUAGCGGUGAAAUGCGCAGAGAUAUGGAGGAACACCAGUGGCGAAGGCGACUUUCUGGUCUGUAACUGACGCUGAUGUGCGAAAGCGUGGGGAUCAAACAGGAUUAGAUACCCUGGUAGUCCACGCCGUAAACGAUGAGUGCUAAGUGUUAGGGGGUUUCCGCCCCUUAGUGCUGCAGCUAACGCAUUAAGCACUCCGCCUGGGGAGUACGACCGCAAGGUUGAAACUCAAAGGAAUUGACGGGGACCCGCACAAGCGGUGGAGCAUGUGGUUUAAUUCGAAGCAACGCGAAGAACCUUACCAAAUCUUGACAUCCUUUGACAACUCUAGAGAUAGAGCCUUCCCCUUCGGGGGACAAAGUGACAGGUGGUGCAUGGUUGUCGUCAGCUCGUGUCGUGAGAUGUUGGGUUAAGUCCCGCAACGAGCGCAACCCUUAAGCUUAGUUGCCAUCAUUAAGUUGGGCACUCUAAGUUGACUGCCGGUGACAAACCGGAGGAAGGUGGGGAUGACGUCAAAUCAUCAUGCCCCUUAUGAUUUGGGCUACACACGUGCUACAAUGGACAAUACAAAGGGCAGCGAAACCGCGAGGUCAAGCAAAUCCCAUAAAGUUGUUCUCAGUUCGGAUUGUAGUCUGCAACUCGACUACAUGAGGCUGGAAUCGCUAGUAAUCGUAGAUCAGCAUGCUACGGUGAAUACGUUCCCGGGUCU
RNAcentral lists this ribosomal RNA (1372 nucleotides) under uncultured bacterium. RNAcentral's name for it is "bacterial SSU rRNA". It matches the Rfam family "Bacterial small subunit ribosomal RNA", at positions 28 to 1381 of the family's 1533-position model. The record is from RNAcentral.